This is a non-coding RNA of Xyrichtys novacula (pearly razorfish), 245 nucleotides long. NCBI's taxonomy places the organism in Eukaryota, Metazoa, Chordata, Actinopteri, Labriformes, Labridae. The record is from the annotation of a GenBank genome assembly.
CGGCUUCUUUUCAAAAUAAAACACUCCGUGUUUCAGGAGGAUCAUAUUUCACACCAUGCAAACGGGCGGAGACGAACAAGUGAAAGGUUUUUAGACGUCAUUUCACCCCGAUGACACCAUGGAUGAGGAGAUGCUGAUUCUAGAAGUCUAGAAGUAGAUUUCCUCCUCUGGAAGGACACAAUCUACUGCUUAUAUGGUUAGCCUCUGUGGCUAAGGACAACUUGUUAUCGCGCGAUUGAACGUGA